AAAUUCUAAAUCAUGGACACCUUUAAGUAUCUUAGGCCUGCCUGGUGGUCGAUAUGUUUGGUCCUGUUGCUGAUUUUACAAGUUGGAAGAGGAGCCACUGGCCGUACGACUUUUUGGGGCCAGGAAGGCCUACCUAAAUUAGCUGAAUGUGCGCUGGAUCUGUCUAAAAAAGCUUUAAAACCGUAGACAUACCAAAUGGUAGUUAUAAGAUUCAACGUUUCAUUGCUUUGGCAACAAAUCAACGAACACGAAGAAUAAUAAGCCUGCAUUAAAUAUAAAUCUCACAAUGCUAUCAACAGAACGCAGGAGACAACAAAUGUUUAAUGCUGACCCCGACAGUACUGCGGCAACAAGGCGCUCGGGCGCUCAGGCGUCCAGACAUCCCAUCACUCGACCAACUCACAACAGGUGGUACAUGUUGAUGUUGCUCCUACUCAACGACCAAGUGGGCUCCCAUUUGAGUGGGCAGUGAAUGUACAAAGCGGGGCACAUGUAAGCGCAUUAAGCCAAAUCACAGAACAUGCUUAGCCCCAGAUUUUGAAUAAUGUUUUGCGUCGAUAAACUCAAUAUCAGACAAUAAAUCUCCGAGCGCUGCAAGAUCAAAAGUGA
Molecule: long non-coding RNA, 609 nt
Organism: Scaptodrosophila lebanonensis
Lineage: Eukaryota; Metazoa; Arthropoda; Insecta; Diptera; Drosophilidae
Exons: 2
Source: RefSeq, a predicted model, not a curated record